GCUCGAAAGAGAAUCUGCACACAGGUGCUGCAUGGCUGUCGUCAGCUCGUGUCGUGAGAUGUUGGGUUAAAUCCCGCAACGAGCGCAACCCUUGUCAUUAGUUGCUACGAAAGAGCACUCUAAUGAGACUGCCGGUGACAAACCGGAGGAAGGUGGGGAUGACGUCAAGUCCUCAUGGCCCUUAUGGGUAGGGCUUCACACGUCAUACAAUGGUACAUACAGAGGGCCGCCAACCCGCGAGGGGGAGCUAAAUCCCAGAAAGUGUAUCGUAGUCCGGAUUGUAGUCUGCAACUCGACUGCAUGAAGUUGGAAUCGCUAGUAAUCGCGGAUCAGCAUGUCGCGGUGAAUACGUUCCCGGGUCUUGUACACACCGCCCGUCACACCAUGGGAGCGGGUUUUACCAGAAGUAGGUAGCUUAACCGCAAGGAGGGCGCUUACCACGGUAGGAUUCGUGACUGGGGUGAA
RNAcentral lists this ribosomal RNA (465 nucleotides) under uncultured soil bacterium. Its description in RNAcentral is "bacterial SSU rRNA". It matches the Rfam family "Bacterial small subunit ribosomal RNA", at positions 1014 to 1484 of the family's 1533-position model. The record is from RNAcentral.